Molecule: long non-coding RNA, 267 nt
Organism: Pezoporus occidentalis (night parrot)
Lineage: Eukaryota; Metazoa; Chordata; Aves; Psittaciformes; Psittacidae
Exons: 3
Source: RefSeq, a predicted model, not a curated record
UGUAGAAAGAGAUCUGCUUUUAUGAAGACAAGGAGGAGUUUUAUGGACGUAAGUGGGCUCGUCUCGAUUAUGGUCCCCAGAGACAAUGUCUGCCCCCUUGCCUGUGGGCAGGUGAUCGCUGUGCUGAAGGUGACCAGUUCUAGCUCCAACAGAAAAAGGAAAAUAUAGAUCAUCAUAAAUCAAAGCACGUCAGUAGAGUGCUGAGCAAUAUGACUGACAUGAAAAUAAUGAUGAAAUGCUGCCCAAAUACCCAGUGUUCUGCUAAGC